CCUACUUUCUUCCUCCUUUUUUCCUCUUUCCCCCUUUUGUCCCCCCUGCUGCCGCGACGCCGCGUGAGUGAAGAAGUAUUUCGGUAUGUAAAGCUCUAUCAGCAGGGAAGAAGAUGACGGUACCUGACUAAGAAGCCCCGGCUAACUACGUGCCAGCAGCCGCGGUAAUACGUAGGGGGCAAGCGUUAUCCGGAUUUACUGGGUGUAAAGGGAGCGUAGACGGCGAUGCAAGCCAGAUGUGAAAGCCCGGGGCUCAACCCCGGGACUGCAUUUGGAACUGUGUGGCUGGAGUGUCGGAGAGGCAGGCGGAAUUCCUAGUGUAGCGGUGAAAUGCGUAGAUAUUAGGAGGAACACCAGUGGCGAAGGCGGCCUGCUGGACGAUGACUGACGUUGAGGCUCGAAAGCGUGGGGAGCAAACAGGAUUAGAUACCCCUGUAGUC
Molecule: ribosomal RNA, 440 nt
Filed under: uncultured bacterium
Lineage: Bacteria
Description: partial 16S ribosomal RNA
Rfam family: Bacterial small subunit ribosomal RNA
Source: RNAcentral